GACGAACGCUGGCGGCGUGCCUAAUACAUGCAAGUUGAGCGCUGAAGGUUGGUACUUGUACCAACUGGAUGAGCAGCGAACGGGUGAGUAACGCGUGGGGAAUCUGCCUUUGAGCGGGGGACAACAUUUGGAAACGAAUGCUAAUACCGCAUAAAAACUUUAAACACAAGUUUUAAGUUUGAAAGAUGCAAUUGCAUCACUCAAAGAUGAUCCCGCGUUGUAUUAGCUAGUUGGUGAGGUAAAGGCUCACCAAGGCGAUGAUACAUAGCCGACCUGAGAGGGUGAUCGGCCACAUUGGGACUGAGACACGGCCCAAACUCCUACGGGAGGCAGCAGUAGGGAAUCUUCGGCAAUGGACGAAAGUCUGACCGAGCAACGCCGCGUGAGUGAAGAAGGUUUUCGGAUCGUAAAACUCGGUUGGUAGAGAAGAACGUUGGUGAGAGUGGAAAGCUCAUCAAGUGACGGUAACUACACAGAAAGGGACGGCUAACUACGUG
RNAcentral lists this ribosomal RNA (497 nucleotides) under uncultured bacterium. Its description in RNAcentral is "partial 16S ribosomal RNA". It matches the Rfam family "Bacterial small subunit ribosomal RNA", at positions 28 to 507 of the family's 1533-position model. The record is from RNAcentral.